This 206-nucleotide ribosomal RNA is filed under the name uncultured bacterium. Its description in RNAcentral is "partial 16S ribosomal RNA". It matches the Rfam family "Bacterial small subunit ribosomal RNA", at positions 568 to 774 of the family's 1533-position model. The record is from RNAcentral.
CACGUAGGCGGAUUUGUAAGUCAGGGGUGAAAUCCCGGGGCUCAACCUCGGAACUGCCUUUGAUACUGCAAAUCUCGAGUCCGGAAGAGGUGAGUGGAAUUCCUAGUGUAGAGGUGAAAUUCGUAGAUAUUAGGAAGAACACCAGUGGCGAAGGCGGCUCACUAGUCCGGUACUGACGCUGAGGUGCGAAAGCGUGGGAGCAAACA